GACGUAGGAUGCAAGCGUUGUUCGGAUUUAUUGGGCGUAAAGCGAGCGUAGGUGGCUAGUUAAGUCUGGUGUUAAAGCUAGGGGCUCAACCCCUGUGCUGCACUGGAAACUGGCUGGCUUGAGGAUGGUAGGGGAAGGUGGAAUUCCGAGUGUAGCGGUGAAAUGCGUAGAUAUUCGGAGGAACACCGGUGGCGAAAGCGACCUUCUGGGCCAUUUCUGACACUGAGGCUCGAAAGCUUGGGGAGCAAACGGG
Molecule: ribosomal RNA, 253 nt
Filed under: uncultured bacterium
Lineage: Bacteria
Description: partial 16S ribosomal RNA
Rfam family: Bacterial small subunit ribosomal RNA
Source: RNAcentral